AUACGGAGGGUGCAAGCGUUGUUCGGAAUUACUGGGCGUAAAGCGCGUGCAGGCGGUAAGGUAAGUCAGAUGUGAAAGCCCCGGGCUCAACCCGGGAAGUGCAUUUGAUACUGCCUUUCUUGAGUAUGGGAGAGGAGAGUGAAAUUCCCAGUGUAGAGGUGAAAUUCGUAGAUAUUGGGAGGAACACCCGUGGCGAAGGCGACUCUCUGGACCAAUACUGACGCUGAGACGCGAAAGCGUGGGGAGCGAACAGGAUUAGAAACCCCAGUAGUCC
Molecule: ribosomal RNA, 274 nt
Filed under: uncultured bacterium
Lineage: Bacteria
Description: partial 16S ribosomal RNA
Rfam family: Bacterial small subunit ribosomal RNA
Source: RNAcentral